GAUGAACGCUGGCGGCGUGCCUAAUACAUGCAAGUCGAGCGAACAGACGAGGAGCUUGCUCCUCUGAUGUUAGCGGCGGACGGGUGAGUAACACGUGGAUAACCUACCUAUAAGACUGGGAUAACUUCAGGAAACCGGAGCUAAUACCGGAUAACAUGUUGAACCGCAUGGUUCAACAGUGAAAGACGGUCUUGCUGUCACUUAUAGAUGGAUCCGCGCCGCAUUAGCUAGUUGGUAAGGUAACGGCUUACCAAGGCAACGAUGCGUAGCCGACCUGAGAGGGGGAUCGGCCACACUGGAACUGAGACACGGUCCAGACUACUACGGGAGGCAGCAGUAGGGAAUCUUCCGCAAUGGGCGAAAGCCUGACGGAGCAACGCCGCGUGAGUGAAGAAGGUCUUCGGAUCGUAAAACUCUGUUAUUAGGGAAGAACAAAUGUGUAAGUAACUAUGCACGUCUUGACGGUACCUAAUCAGAAAGCCACGGCUAACUACGCG
RNAcentral lists this ribosomal RNA (497 nucleotides) under uncultured bacterium. RNAcentral's name for it is "partial 16S ribosomal RNA". It matches the Rfam family "Bacterial small subunit ribosomal RNA", at positions 28 to 507 of the family's 1533-position model. The record is from RNAcentral.